RNAcentral lists this transfer RNA (72 nucleotides) under Fukomys damarensis (Damara mole-rat). It matches the Rfam family "tRNA". Rfam says of the family: Transfer RNA (tRNA) molecules are approximately 80 nucleotides in length. Their secondary structure includes four short double-helical elements and three loops (D, anti-codon, and T loops). Further hydrogen bonds mediate the characteristic L-shaped molecular structure. tRNAs have two regions of fundamental functional importance: the anti-codon, which is responsible for specific mRNA codon recognition, and the 3' end, to which the tRNAs corresponding amino acid is attached (by aminoacyl-tRNA synthetases). tRNAs cope with the degeneracy of the genetic code in two manners: having more than one tRNA (with a specific anti-codon) for a particular amino acid; and 'wobble' base-pairing, i.e. permitting non-standard base-pairing at the 3rd anti-codon position. Lineage: Eukaryota; Metazoa; Chordata; Mammalia; Rodentia; Bathyergidae. The record is from Rfam by way of RNAcentral.
GGAGGUGUAGUUAAAUGGUAGAGCACUUGCCUUGAAUGCAGGAAGCCUAAGAUUCAAAUCCUAGCACCACCA